AUGGGGAUGUAGGAGUUUGCGGUUGUAAUUGAAUGUUAUUUCAAGUAUUAUUAAACGAUUUGUAAGACUAAUACUUAGUUAGAAAUGAGUACAUUGUAAAAUACUUAUGACUGAUUUAAUAUAAUAUAAUAUAGCAGUUUAAUAAUAAAUUACCAAUAUUAAUAUAUUAUAAAAAAAAUUAUAAUCAUAUUAUUAUGAUAAUAUAUAAAAUUAGUCAUUUAAUAUAAU
This 228-nucleotide long non-coding RNA is filed under the name Brassica napus (rape). RNAcentral's name for it is "long non-coding RNA (BNAP_LNC019041)". The record is from RNAcentral. Lineage: Eukaryota; Viridiplantae; Streptophyta; Magnoliopsida; Brassicales; Brassicaceae.